GAUGAAGAACGCAGCGAAAUGCGAUAAUUAAUGUGAAUUGCAGAAUUCAGUGAAUCAUCGAGUCUUUGAACGCACAUUGCGCCCCCUGGUAUUCCGGGGGGCAUGCCUGGCCGAGCGUCAUUGCUGCCCUCAAGCACGGCUUGGGUGUUGGGCUUCCGUCCCUGGCAACGGGGACGGGCCCAAAAGGCAGUGGCGGCACCAUGUCUGGUCCUCGAGCGUAUGGGGCUUUGUCACCCGCUCCCGUAGGUCCAGCUGGCAGCUAGCCUCGCAACCAAUCUUUUUAACCAGGUUGACCUCGGAUCAGGUAGGGAUACCCGCUGAACUUAAGCAUAUCAAUAAGCGGAGGA
This 347-nucleotide unclassified non-coding RNA is filed under the name soil metagenome. RNAcentral's name for it is "partial contains 5.8S ribosomal RNA, internal transcribed spacer 2, and large subunit ribosomal RNA". The stretch from base 1 to 120 matches the Rfam family "5.8S ribosomal RNA", at positions 35 to 154 of the family's 154-position model. The record is from RNAcentral.